AAUCAAUUCAAGAUAUAUAUAUAAGUAUAUAAGACGGAAAUGCAAUGCAUAUCCAAAGUCUCAAAUUCUUGUUAACAAGACAUCCUUCAAUCUAUUUGGAAAAGGAAACAAAUUAGCUGGGAGCAGAAAUCUAUAAGUAAAGGUAAACUAUAAUGCAACAGCAAAGGAAAUAACUUAAAAUACAAUAUAAAUUGCUUAAUAUACAGUGUGGUGCAAAUCAGAAGAACCCUGUGCUCAAAUUUUCUUCAAACUGUAUCUAACUUUUUUUUCAUUUAAUUUGUAGUUUGUUAAGGAGAGAUAUUAAACGCAUUUUGUGCUCAAAACAUUUAACAUUUUGUAUUUGUUUACUGUUUAUUGGGUGAGCAAUCGGACUACCACAUUAAUUCAUACGAAAAAUCACGUAAAGUAUUUGACACACUAACAUACCAUAUGAAUUGGACUUGUUUCCUGCUGUGGAAGUCAGAUGAAGAGGCUGAAAACUUGGGGCAGCUACUCACAAAGAACUCUUCCAAUUCAGGACACACAAUAUCAAAAGUAUCACUUUCAUAGUACAACAUUGGAAGUACCUCCAAAUGUAAUCGCUUCAAUUUUGGAAGGACGGUCUUCUUGUUGCUUGCUUCAACUAUCCUUUCCAACAGAGGGCAAUUCUUGAAUUUUAAGGAAUUCAGUUGGGAAAGACACUGAGCAACAUCAUAGGUGAAGAGACUUCCAUCUGACUUGCACCACUCUAUGGACAAACUUUGAAGAUUCUGGAACAUUGCAGGUGGGAGUCGAGAAGGUCCAUCACAUAUGCUAACUGUGGACAAUGCUAUCUUUCUCAGUCUCCAUUGUUCCCAUGGAAACCAACAACCCUUCAGAGACAUGUUCUCCAAUGAAGGACACUCAAUAUCAAAAGUAGCACUUUUGUAUAACAUUGGAAGUUCCGUCAAACUUAAUUGCUCCAACUUUGGAAGGAUUAUCUUCUUGUUGCUUGCUUCAACUAUCCUUUCCAACAAGGGGCAUACUGCUAAUUCUAAGGAAUUCAACUGAAAAAGACACUGAGCAACAUCAGAGGUGAAGAGACUUCCCUCCAACUUGCAUUUGGUAAUGGACAAACUUUGAAGAUUCUGGAGCAUCGCAGGCGGAGCAGGUCCCUCACAUAUGCUUACUGUUGCUAGAGCAAACAAUUCUAUCUUUUUCAACUUUAAUUGUUGCAACACAAGCAAGGCUUCAUACCCAAACAUAUAUUCACUCCCGUCCGUCUGACAAACAAUUAAUACUUCCAAAUUUGGUAGUCUAUGUAACAAUGUUGACGGUAAAAGUAUAUUCCACCAGUUGUAACAAUAUUCUACCUUCAAUACCUUCAACUUGAAUAGAGACCCACAUGGUAGAAAUUGAACGGCACGUAACUCUGCACAAUCCAGUCCCUCCAUAUACAACUCUUCCAAAUUCUCGAACACAGGCUUUCUUGGAACCCAUGUUAUUGCAGGAUCCACCUCCGUGAUGUCUCGACUGCUGUAACCCACUAUAUGCAGAUGCUUCAGUCUCUGUAGCCUCCCAUGCUCAGAUUCCACAAAUAUGUCGAUUAACCUGUGGCACCAAGAGUCGGAAAAUGUCUCUGCUUUCUUCAUUAUCUCGUCACGAAACCACUCCGGUAAGUGACUGAUCAUGACAUCCAAGAGUAUUGAGAUAUGACGAUGUCGAUCAUAUAACUUCGUCUUGUAUGGCUCGUAUAAACCACCGAUACAUAUAUCAAACUCAACCAAAUUCAUUUUCUGCUCAACAUAUUUAGGGAUAUGUUCAACACCCCUGAUAGUAACCUUCAAAACUCUUAAUUUUGACAAGCUAGUUACCUCGUCAAAGCUAGCAUUAGUAAAGGUAUCAUUGACUUCUCCUUCUUCUCCCUCAGCGUUAAGCUCCAAGCACUCCCACUCCCAAAAUCCUUGCAUAGUUACCUCGUCAAAGCUAGCAUUAGUAAAGGUAUCAUUAACUUCUCCUUCUUCUCCCUCAGCGUUAGGCUCCAAGCGCUCCCACUCCCAAAAUCCUUGCAUAUACAGUUCUUCUAAAUUAUGCAACUUUGAUAACAGUUUGGAGGGAAUUCUAGAAAUAUGUUCACCAGUAAUAUCCAACAUCCUCAGAUUGGUCAAACCUCCUAUUUCUACCGACAACUCAUACAGACGUGAAUUUCUCAUACUCAGCAUCUCAAGCUUUUUAAGUUUUCCCAGUAUGGAAGUGUCAAUGCUUAGAUGGUCACAAUUAUCUAAAUACAAAGCUGUGAGGUUGGUUAGGAGACCUAAUGAUUUGGGCAGUAAUGAAAGGCUAGUAGUCCAGCUAAGAUCUAAUACCCUUAAUUCAUUUGGACAUUGGAAGAAUGUUUCUGGUAUAUGUUCUAAAAAGAUAUUAUGGUUUAGUAACAAAAUCUGGAGUUUUGGACAUACCAGAUUUUUGGGAAGCUCCCUGAUAUAAUUCCUCAUUAGUGAGAUUGCAAGGUAGCCUUUAUGUAAAUUACGUGGCCAAUCCUCUAAACGACAGCCGGCUUUCACAAAAAACUCAUCUUCAGAUAGCACAAUUUGAAUGGCUGCAUCCCGGACAACUUCAUGCAUCCUUACAAAUCCAUCUGUUUUACUAUCCAAAAGCAAGCAAGAAUAUUUAAGAUGCUUGACAACGGAAUCAACUUGCUUUCUUGCCUCCAAGAGUGUUUCGGCAUCUCGAAACAAUCUUGUCCUGAUCCCAUACCUGAACAAGUCUUUUAUAGGGAUGCCAUAGUCUUCUGGGAAUAAGCAACAAAGUAAGAAGUAUGACUUGUAGUCCUCAUUUUUCAAGUAAUCAUAGCUUAAUUUUAUGCAUUUUGUUGCUUCUCCAUAAUCGUCAGGGUUGGCAGUUCGCGACUUCUUUAGCCGGAGAGCUGCUAUCUCCCAUUCCACCAACUCUUUAUCUCCGAGCGCCCUUGCAACUGUGACCAAUGCAAUCGGUAGACCUCUACAUUCUCCAGCAACCUUCUUUGCCACACCCUCGAAAGUGGACGACUCAAAAGACCUUCUUACUUUACUCACAAACAAGGCCCAAGAAUCUUGUUCUGAGAGAAUGUUGAGUGUGAUCUUUCUUUGGCACUCCAUGGCAUGACAAACAUUCCUUAUCCUUGUGGUGAGUAGGAUUUUGGAAUUACACUUUUGAAGUUCCUUGUGGCUUGGAAUUCCUACUCUUGAUAACUUCAUUCCCUCCCAAAUAUCGUCCAGGAUUAUAAGAAUCUUUGUUCGUCUCAUUAUCUCCUUAUGCAACCUAGUGGAUCUUCCAAUUUCUGUUUCCUCAUGUAAUUUGAAGCCCAACUGCUCUGCCAAUGCGUCUUGAAGGAUUUCAAAACCAGGAUUUUGGGAUACGACACACUUAGUCACAUAAUCAAAACUCCCACUUUUCCGAGCUUGUGCACCGACAUGUUCCACCAAGGUUGUCUUGCCCACACCUCCCAUGCCGUAGACACCAACGGCAGUGACCUCGUCAUCUUUAAGGGCCUUCAUAACCUCAUCCAUGGCUACUCUUGUUGCUUCAAAUGCUUGGAAAUCUGCUGUGGACUCAAUUGCCUCAGGUACUGCCCUACUGAUGAGAACAUCCACAAUGGCGUUAACAAGUUCUUUGUGAGUCCUACAAGCAGAAAUUUAAUUAAAAGUCAGAAAUGAGUAAACUAUAUAUGGAAAACCGCAGUUAUUGCACAACGCUUACUUAUAAUUCUGCGUAUUCCACCCGGAUAUAUUGGCCACUUUGUUUAAAGCAGCUUUCCAAUGAUUCACCUUCUCUGAUUCAUAUCUCCCAGAGCUUUCAUGUUUAGAGAAAGCUUCUUCGAAACUCUGCUUCUGAUAUCGAACAUCAGUAGGCUCAACAUGAUAAAAAAGUGGAAAAAUUCUGUUGUCUUCCAUGGAUAGACAAAUCUCUCUAAGUUCCUCCAAACACCAAGUAGAAGAAGCAUAAUUUUGCGAGAGAACAACAAUUGCAAACCUUGACCCUUCAAUUGCUUCUAUGAGCGUGCGAGAAAUAGUGUCCCCGACUUUAAGAUCUGGAUCAUCCAUGAAUGUUUUAAUGCCUCUCCGAUUGAGUCCAUCGUAUAUGUCGAUUGUGAUACCCUUGCGAGUGUCAACGCCCCUGAAACUCAAAAACACAUCAUACCUCCAACAUGGAUCUGAAGGAGGAGGAUAUGCACAGGGUAUUUGGGAGCUGGAGGCCAUUGGAAACCACCAAAUCAAAACAAGAGGCAAUCAAGAACAGGAAAUAAAAAACUGCAAGAACAAGGUCUCUCAAGUAUUGGCAGGUACAAAGAAACUUUUAAAGCCAAAUGAAGAAACCAUGAAACAAAGGGUGUUGAAGUCUGAAGUCCGAACAGCAUGAAACCAAGUUUCAUAGACUUGUGCAAAGUCUAGACAAAAUGGCAUCUUGGAUUUGUUCAAACUAAUACUAUUAAAUCUGCACUCGCUGCCAGCUAAAAUAUAAUAACAUGUUAGGUAAAGCUUCAUACUAAAAUACUAAAAUAACAGGAGGCUUGGUUUUUCGUCAUCUCGUGAAGGUUUUAUUUGGAGCAAUACUUUUCCAGUGUUUCAUAAUUGAGUGCAUUUCUAAUAUAUCAAUUAUGCAUAUGUAGAUGACCUUUAGGGAUUGAUCUUAAUCAUGAAACGUACGAUUACUUAAGAUUUGGCUUCCCCAAUGUGUAUCUAAAUCAAAUCCCACUUGCCCAAUCUGCGGAAUUGCAGAAGAGAGCUCAUGGGUGGAGUUGAGAAUCAACAAAUUGGUUCUAUACGUGUAUCAAGAAUGCAACAAAUAGGAACAUUGAGUAUACACACUUACAGUAACUAGCCUCAUUUGCUGGUCCAUUUUUCGUGUCCUCUCCAUCGCCAUGGAGCUCGUUGCUUCCCUGCAUGCAACUGAAAUCAUCAUCGAAUCAGAUUCGAAAAAGCUUUAUUGAGGAAUUGAACAAUAAUCAUGAGAAGAUUAAUUUGAAGAAGACUCAGCUUUUAACUUGAGUGAUUGCAAUUGGGAUUUGAUGGGCUGCCUUGCCCACAGACGCCAGAGCGGUUUGAGCUCGACUUCUCUGGUCGGUAGGAGCUCUUCAAUUAUGAUUAAGACUUUUUAGUCUGGACUUGGCAAUGGGCAAGGCCCAUUUACUCCUCAAGUCCGACCCGGAUGACCCAAUUCUUAAACAGAGAAGCCUCACUCCCUACUCCCUAGUAAAGCUUCAACCUUUCACUGUUCCCAACCCAAGUCUCAAAACCCUUCAAAGCUUAAGGUUUUCACUCUCCAGUGCUCCUCCGCCUCCGCUAAUGCCGUAUCAGGUAAACCCAAUUUCGCUACUCAGCCUACUCUGCUCUCAUUGUUCUCUCUAGGACUUGUAAAGAUUCAAUUUUUAUGUGAUAAUGGUUUCCAGUUUUCUCUGAGGUUGAUUUAUAAAUGACAUGGAUUACCUGUGAAGAGUUGCCGGUGACCGGACCGUGCCGGUUGGGGUGAGAAUGAUGGUUGCAUGACUGAAAAUGUGAGUGUUAAUUUUUUUAUUUUUUUUUGUUGAAUGAAUGAAAUUGGUAAAGCAUUGAAUGCUUUGUAGGUUGGGAAAAAUUACUUGUACCCGGAGUAGAAGCAAGAGCUCAUUACGGUUUCACAGUUUCUUGAUAGGAUUCGGGUUAAUGGUUCUUCCUCUGGUGCCCCGACUUAUCUUGCUCAGCACUCAUUGUUUGAUCAGGUUCGUUACAAUUGUGAUAUGCAUGUAUGCUUGGAUAUACAUUGUUAUCUUUUAAUUAUUUGAUAUAACUCUGAUUGUCAGAUAAACGAGCUGCGUGAGGACGUAUGUGUUCAAGCUUGGUUUGGUCUACAAAUGCUUGGUUUGGUCCAGCUGGGACUAUAACCCCUUUACACCAUGAUCCGCACCAUAAUGUGUUUGCUCAGGUACUUCAGAGUUGGUUUUCUGCAUUGAACAAUAUUUACCAUGAUCUUUGGCUUUGAGAGUUUUAUAUUCAUUACGAACAUUCUGGUUGUUGUUUUUAGGUUUUGAGUUAUCAUCUUUGAAUUCUGCUUAGAUAUUCUGUUUCUAUUGGAAAAUUGUGAGACUGAUUAAUCAGGGCUAGCCAUAGAAGUAGCACUCCUUUGUUCAAUUGGUUACUCCUUUAAAUUAUAGUUUACCUGUCCUGUCUCCAUAUCCAAGCUGUGAUGUCCAUAACCAGCCCCUACCUUGUUCAACUAGAAAUCAAAGAUCUGUAAACAGUAAAUAUCCAUGUCCACUGACAUGAAUAGAGAAUCUGAUAAUUUUUCUAGUACAUACCUAGAUCAGAUGUGCACGCCUCCAUUUGUUGCAAAGACUGCGAUUUGUAGCGGUUCAUGGAAUUUCUCUGUUUUAACUUCUAAAUGCAGAGCUAUUUUACCAUGCAUAUAUAUCUCAGGCAUAAUAGUUCCAUAUACAAAAGCAUAUGUCGUAUGCAUGUACUUCCAGAUGGCAUGUGUGUUUGUAUAUAGCUGCAUAUUUUGGCAAGUUACUUGCUUCUAUGAUCAAACGUCUAUGUGACUCGGAUUGAUCGCUCAACUUCAGGUAGUUGGGAAGAAGUAUAUAAGGCUCUAUCGUGCUUCAUUAUCAGAGGAACUCUAUCCACAUACGGAAACCAUGCUUUGUAACUUGAGUCAGGUAAUUGCAUUCUUGACCUCAUUCAAGUAAGGAAAAGCCCCUAAACAAAUUUGUCAAGAAGGCAGAUUCUAACAGUACACCCUUAUUUGCAUAUGAUUUCAUGCGCCAAGGUUAUACAUGCUUUUUAAAAAAAUACCGAGUCAUGCUGGGAUAGAAGAUUUGUGAUUACUAGUCAGUUCCUCCCAGUGAACCUGUCACUGUCAUAUUCUUGGAAAUAUCUCAUAAGCUGAAAUUGGUGGAUAGUUUAUAUAGUGGCAGUUACAUUUUAGUUACACUUAUUCAUAACUUAUAACUUAUCUAGGUUACAGACGGAACUUAGUUGCUAAAAACUGAAAUGUUGAUAUUCCUGUCAGCUUCUUUAUGUGAACUCAAUAAACAUAAUAUUAUAUAUUUACUGAUUGAAUAUACUUUGUUUGAAGGUUGAUCUGGACAACAUAGAUGAGAAAGAAUUCCCCAAGGUGCAGGACUUGGAAUUUCUCGACUGCAUUUUUUAGAGGAAGGUGACAUGCUGUAUAUCCCACCAAAGUGGUGGCACUAUGUGCGGUCUCUGACAACAAGUAUGUCAGUUAGCUUUUGGUGCAGUGAUUACGAUGGUUCAGCUACUUCUUGAUAGUUUGUGGUUAAUUCAUUUUGAUAUUGUUAGACAGGGCAGUUUUCAGUUGCAGAGUCUUAUAUUCUCAUGUAUAUAUCCUGCGGUGUUAUAUUUACAAUAAGACUUAUAGAUGUCUGAAGAAGAAGAAACUGUUUGUAACAAUUUUGAGAAUAGUGCUUUAACAUCUUUCUCGGGUCACAGUCUGUAGCCAUACACUUGCAAAGUUACUUAUCCAUUGUAUCGUAAUUGAGUUUGUUUCAAUCAAUAUGGUUCAUACAUUUUUGUGUUAUGGAGUUCAGUUUUUGAUUAAUCUACAUCACAAAAAGAUAACUUCAGAUUUGGCAUCUUUAUUUUGAUCAUCUUCAUGUAAAUGGAAUUGUUUUUCUUUCAAGGAUGAAUUUGAAAAGCAGUCUUUCAUAGUUUCCAUAGAAAGACUUGUAAGUUGUAUUCAUCUUCAUCCUUCAUAGCAUCCUCGAUAGUUUCUUUUGACUUACAAGCUUGGUUUUUAGUCACAUCCCUUUUCAUUACCAACUUCUGUGCUCAUCUGGUUUAACCAGUAGUAGGAAUGAUAUAUGUUUUUGGGUUUUGGCCCUAUAUGCCUUCACGUCACUGCUCUUCUCCCCUUGCACACAAACUUCAACCUGCUCCUCCAUGUACUUGGGCAUUCUGAGAGCUUCUCAUCUUACGGAGAACUUACAAUCUCAAACAAGUAUGCGAAUAGGUAAAUGCAUAUUAUGUACGCUCAUAUCAAAAUUGAGGAAUUUACACAAGGAAUAUCAAUUACAUCUGAUUUUCCUUAUUAUCAAAUCAACAAUGGAUACAGAUGCACGUCUGAAAGACGUAGAACCAGGAAGAAGAUAUAAAGUGGCAAAAUGAAAAUAUAUAAAUUUAUUAUCCACAACAGAGUUAUACAACUUCACAAUCAAAUGCGGGAUAUUCUUCUGGGCCACGGAAGGUCUCUGCGGUGUAUUGAUUGCAAUUAGUCCUCUGUCCACCUAUUAAAAUCAAUUCAAGAUAUAUUUAAGUAUAUAAGACGGAAAUUCAAUGCAUAUCCAAAGUCUCAAAUUCUUGUUAACAAGUCUAUUUGGAAAAGGAAACAAUUAGCUGGGAAGCAAAGGUAAACUAUAAUGCAACAGCAGAGGAAAUAACUGAAAAUACAAUAUAAAUUGCUUAAUAUACAGUGCGGUGCAAAUCA
Molecule: long non-coding RNA, 8415 nt
Filed under: Fragaria vesca (wild strawberry)
Lineage: Eukaryota; Viridiplantae; Streptophyta; Magnoliopsida; Rosales; Rosaceae
Description: long non-coding RNA (FVES_LNC001626)
Source: RNAcentral